CCUACGGGUGGCAGCAGUCGAGAAUCAUUCACAAUGGGGGAAACCCUGAUGGUGCGAAGCCGCGUGGGGGAAUGAAGGUCUUCGGAUUGUAAACCCCUGUUAUGUGGGAGCAAAUUAAAAAGAUAGUACCACAAGAGGAAGAGACGGCUAACUCUGUGCCAGCAGCCGCGGUCAUACAGAGGUCUCAAGCGUUGUUCGGAAUCACUGGGCGUAAAGCGUGCGUAGGCUGUUUCGUAAGUCGUGUGUGAAAGGCGCGGGCUCAACCCGCGGACGGCACAUGAUACUGCGAAACUAGAGUAAUGGAGGGGGAGCCGGAAUUCUCGGUGUAGCAGUGAAAUGCGUAGAUAUCGAGAGGAACACUCGUGGCGAAGGCGGGUUCCUGGACAUUAACUGACGCUGAGGCACGAAGGCCAGGGGAGCGAAAGGGAUUAGAUACCCCUGUAGUC
Molecule: ribosomal RNA, 446 nt
Filed under: uncultured bacterium
Lineage: Bacteria
Description: partial 16S ribosomal RNA
Rfam family: Bacterial small subunit ribosomal RNA
Source: RNAcentral